GCCGGGCGAGGUAGCACGUGCCUGUAAUCCCAGCUACUCGGGAGGCUGAGGUGGGAGGAUCGCUUGAGCCCAGGAGUUCUGGGCUGUAGUGCGCUAUGCCUAUCGGGUGUCCUCACUAAGUUCGGCAUCAAUAUGGUGACCUCCUGGGAGUGGGGGACCACCAGGUUGCCUAAGGAGGGGUGACCCGGCCCAGGUCGGAAACGGAGCAGGUCAAAACUCCCCUGCUGAUCAGUAGUGGGAUCGCGCCUGUGAAUAGCCACUGCACUCCAGCCUGGGCAACAUAGGGAGACACCGUCUCU
Molecule: signal recognition particle RNA, 299 nt
Filed under: Aotus nancymaae (Ma's night monkey)
Lineage: Eukaryota; Metazoa; Chordata; Mammalia; Primates; Aotidae
Description: Metazoan signal recognition particle RNA (ENSANAG00000000118.1)
Rfam family: Metazoan signal recognition particle RNA
About the family: The signal recognition particle (SRP) is a universally conserved ribonucleoprotein.
Source: RNAcentral